GGAUCAGACGUGAUUACCCGCUGAACUUAAGCAUAUCACUAAGCGGAGGAAAAGAACUAACCAGGAUUCCCUAGUACUGCGAGUGAAGAGGGAUUAGCCCAGCACCGAAGCCUGCGGUCAUUUGACUGCUAGGCAAUGUGGUGUUUAGGUUGGUUCUUGGCAUUACUGCUCCACCCUAAGUCCAGCAAUGAGUACGGCUUACUGGAUUGGCCCAUUGAGGGUGAAAGGCCCGUGUGGGUGGAGACCCAGAUUGUCAGUUUUGCCCUGAAUUAACCUUGGAGUCGGGUUGUUUGUGAAUGCAGCCCAAAGUGGGUGGUAAACUCCAUCUAAGGCUAAAUACUGGCACGAGUCCGAUAGCGAACAAGUACCGUGAGGGAAAGUUGAAAAGUACUUUGAAGAGAGAGUAAACAGUUCGUGAACCCGCUCAGAGGUAAACGGGUGGAGUUGAACUGGAAGCCCUGGGGAUUCAGCUGAUGAGUAUGGCAUGAGCUUGGGCAUAUUGGUCGGCUUUCAGAGUCCGCUUAGCUGCGGGUCCUUGCCCUAACGGGUUUGGAUGUGCGUUACGCUCAUUAGGCGUUGUGCGCUCUGUCUGUUCCGGGCCUGCUCGUCAGUGCACUUCCUCAGGGUGUUCACCACGACCGGCGCUGCUGUCUGUCUGUUGCGGUCAAACCGGUUGGGCUUAGUCAUUUUGGCUAAGUUUGAUCGGGAUGGCAGGUAGCUCUUGAGAUUUUCUGGCUUCGGCUAGUAGAGCUCUUGAGUGUAAUUAGCCGACUGUAAUGGAUCUGUGCAGUGCGUCGGAGCUGGCGGCUUUGGUGUGUGUACGCGUGCUGUACCUUGCUGGCUUGGUCAAGUUUGGUUAAUGUGUUACUUGCUUCGGUGGGUCUAUUAAUGGCUUGACUUUGCAUAGUGAGUGGUGGCGCGUGCGACGCUAUCUAGGGCCAAAAGUCUGUGGUGUUGUGGUAAACUAUCCACCCGACCCGUCUUGAAACACGGACCAAGGAGUUUAACAUGUACGCGAGUCAUUGGGCGUUACGAAACCCAAAGGCGUAGUGAAAGUAAAGGUUCGGCUUGUCCGAGCUGAGGUGAGAUCCUGCUGUUUCUCUGCCUUGGACUACCAAGCAUUCGAGCAGUAGGCGCAUCACCGGCCCGUCUCAUGAUGUAGUCAUAUGACCUUUGGUUGUGUGCACCUUCGGGGCGGAGCUAGAGCGUACACGUUGAGACCCGAAAGAUGGUGAACUAUGCCUGCGGAGGUUGAAGCCAGAGGAAACUCUGGUGGAGGACCGCAGCGAUUCUGACGCGCAAAUCGAUCGUCUAACGUGGGUAUAGGGGCGAAAGACUAAUCGAACCAUCUAGUAGCUGGUUCCCUCCGAAGUUUCCCUCAGGAUAGCUGGCAUUCUGAUAAAUAAACAGUUUUAUCCGGUAAAGCGAAUGAUUAGAGAUAUUGGGGAGAAAUCAUCCUCAACCUAUUCUCAAACUUUAAAUGGGUGAGAAGCUUUGCUCGCUUAAUUGGAGUAAGGCGUUGAAUGUGAGUGCCAAGUGGGCCAUUUUUGGUAAGCAGAACUGGCGCUGUGGGAUGAACCAAACGUUCGGAUAAGGUGCCUAACUCAACGCUCAUGAGAUACCACAAAAGGUGUUGGUUGGUCCAGACAGCAGGACGGUGGCCAUGGAAGUCGGAAACCGCUAAGGAG
Molecule: ribosomal RNA, 1688 nt
Filed under: Clinostomum phalacrocoracis
Lineage: Eukaryota; Metazoa; Platyhelminthes; Trematoda; Strigeidida; Clinostomidae
Also listed under: 1 other name
Description: eukaryotic LSU rRNA
Rfam family: Eukaryotic large subunit ribosomal RNA
Source: RNAcentral